CUUCUCCCUUCUUCCUUCUCUUCUCUCCCACCUUCUAUGUUUAUCUUAAUUUUUUUCUUCUUCCUUCUAUUAUCUUCAUCAUUCUCUUCUAUUCUCUCCCCCCUUCUCUCUUUUUGUUCUUCCUUCUCUUCUCUCUAUUUAUUUUAUGCAGAAUCAUACCCUCCACCCCUUCAAUCAAGAAACAGCAACACAAUCAAGAAAUUGAAAGAUAGAAUUUUUGAAUUUUGAAAGAAAGAGAGAAUUUUCGAAUUUUUUAUUCUUCAUACAUGGAAUUUAUUUUUAAUCAUCUGGGUUUGAUUUUCGAUCGGCUGUUUUUGAUUCUUCAUGCAUGGAAUUGAUUUUUUGUUCUGUGCAUCUCUAAUUUGGAGAAGGGAGAGGGUUAAUGAGGAUGGAAGAGAAGGACUGGGUUUGUUGGUUCAUUAGAGAAAUAUGAAGAGAUCUGGAGAAGAAGAAAUGAAUGGAGAAUUGAUUUUUUUUCCUUUUUUUUAAUUGAUUGGAACGUUUUUUUUUUAAAUAAUUGCUAAUUUAUUAAGAAAAAGGCAGGUAGGAUAAUAAUUGUUAUUUUCUUUUUGAUUUGGGUCUCAAAGGAGUAAAGAGAUUGAAGGGAGGUGGACUGGUGGAGUAAAAGCGUAUGAAUUUUUUUUGAAAAAAGGUUGAUAGAAGAAGGAGAUAAUGAGGAAGAAGAUGAAGAUAUGAUGUUUUUAAUUUUUCAAUUUUUUUAAGCAAUUGUUAAUUAAUAUAAAAAUGUUGGUUGAAAAAAAUAUAAAAAUCCAACUCAGCACGCCAUGUCGUUGGUAAAUGGACAGUCAGCGCCCCACCUAAGCUAAUUUAUUCAGUCAGAUGAUCUUAUGGGGGUAAACCAAAUAAUCUACAUUUUAAAAAGGAG
Molecule: long non-coding RNA, 886 nt
Filed under: Medicago truncatula (barrel medic)
Lineage: Eukaryota; Viridiplantae; Streptophyta; Magnoliopsida; Fabales; Fabaceae
Description: lncRNA gene3852
Source: RNAcentral